AGUGGGGAAUAUUGCACAAUGGAGGAAACUCUGAUGCAGCGACGCCGCGUGAAUGAUGAAGGCUUUCGAGUCGUAAAAUUCUGUCCUUGGGGACGAUGAUGACGGUACCCAAGGAGGAAGCCCCGGCUAACUACGUGCCAGCAGCCGCGGUAAUACGUAGGGGGCGAGCGUUGUCCGGAAUUAUUGGGCGUAAAGGGUUCGCAGGCGGCCUUUUAAGUCAGAUGUUAAAUCUCACGGCUUAACCGUGAUAAGCAUUUGAAACUGGAGGGCUUGAGUUAAGGAGAGGAAAGUGGAAUUCCUAGUGUAGCGGUGAAAUGCGUAGAUAUUAGGAGGAAUACCGGUGGCGAAGGCGACUUUCUGGACUUAUACUGACGCUGAGGAACGAAAGCAUGGGGAGCAAACAGGAUUAGAUACCCUGGUAGUCCAUGCCGUAAACGAUGAGUGCUAGGUGUUGGGGGUCAAACCUCGGUGCCGCAGCUAACGCAUUAAGCACUCCGCCUGGGGAGUACGUACGCAAGUAUGAAACUCAAAGGAAUUGACGGGGACCCGCACAAGCAGCGGAGCAUGUGGUUUAAUUCGAAGCAACGCGAAGAACCUUACCAGGACUUGACAUGGUAUUGGCCGGUCUAGAGAUAGAUCUUUCCCUUCGGGGACAAUACACACAGGUGGUGCAUGGUUGUCGUCAGCUCGUGUCGUGAGAUGUUGGGUUAAGUCCCGCAACGAGCGCAACCCCUAUUUUUAGUUGCUAACAAGUUAAGUUGAGCACUCUAGAGAGACUGCCGAUGACAAAUCGGAGGAAGGUGGGGAUGACGUCAAAUCAUCAUGCCCUUUAUGUCCUGGGCUACACACGUGCUACAAUGGUCGGUACAACGAGAAGCCACUUAGCGAUAAGGAGCAAAUCUCUAAAAGCCGAUCCCAGUUCGGAUUGUAGGCUGCAACUCGCCUACAUGAAGUUGGAGUUGCUAGUAAUCGCAGAUCAGAAUGCUGCGGUGAAUGCGUUCCCGGGUCUUGUACACACCGCCCGUCACACCAUGGAAGUUGGCAAUACCCGAAGCCAGUGAGCUAACCGUAAGGAAGCAGCUGUCGAAGGUAGGGUUAAUGACUAGGGUG
This 1110-nucleotide ribosomal RNA is filed under the name uncultured bacterium. RNAcentral describes it as "bacterial SSU rRNA". It matches the Rfam family "Bacterial small subunit ribosomal RNA", at positions 353 to 1482 of the family's 1533-position model. The record is from RNAcentral.